GGCAGAUGAUGUCUUUUUCUCAUGAUGGCCUAUGAAUCCUACUGCAAGCAGUCCUGAUAAUGCCAACGGCUCAGCUAAUGCCAGGAG
Tupaia belangeri (northern tree shrew) is the source of this 87-nucleotide small nucleolar RNA. The record is from Ensembl. Lineage: Eukaryota; Metazoa; Chordata; Mammalia; Scandentia; Tupaiidae.